RNAcentral lists this ribosomal RNA (474 nucleotides) under Garcinia xanthochymus (false mangosteen). Its description in RNAcentral is "eukaryotic LSU rRNA". The stretch from base 5 to 160 matches the Rfam family "5.8S ribosomal RNA". The record is from RNAcentral. Lineage: Eukaryota; Viridiplantae; Streptophyta; Magnoliopsida; Malpighiales; Clusiaceae.
AAACGACUCUCGGCAACGGAUAUCUCGGCUCUUGCAUCGAUGAAGAACGUAGCGAAAUGCGAUACGUGGUGUGAAUUGCAGAAUCCCGUGAACCAUCGAGUCUUUGAACGCAAGUUGCGCCCAAGGCCUUUUGGUUGAGGGCACGUCUGCCUGGGUGUCACACAAUGUUUGCCCAAACCCAAAUUAUCGUGGGACAAGGGCGGAUGUUGGUCUCCCGUGUGCCAUUUGCUCGCGGUUGGCCCAAACACAAGCCUCUCUGAUGUUGUACACGGCAAUCGGUGGUUUAAAGACCCUCGGACGACGUCGUGCGCUCUCGUCACAUUGGCACUGAUAACCCCAAAGCAAUCGUUGCACGCUCAUAAAGCGACCCCAGGUCAGGCGAGACUACCCGCUGAGUUUAAGCAUAUCAAUAAGCGGAGGAAAAGAAACUUACCAGGAUUCCCCUAGUAACGGCGAGCGAACCGGGAAAAGCCC